UUAAGGCUUAUCGGGUACGUUAUUUACUUCAAUACGUAUUCUACCUGGCAAGGUAAAUGCAUUCACAUGGAGGAUAUCUACGUGGUUCCGGAGUACCGCAGUUAGGGCAUAGGAUCAAAAUUGAUUGGGUCUGUCUGUAAGGUUGCUGAUUUACAAAACUGUGGAAGAGUUCAAUUCAUUGUUCGGGAUUCGAACAAAUCUGCCAUGAAAUUUUACAAACAUCAAGGAGCAAUAGAUUUGACAGAAGUGCAAGAAUGGCAUCUGUUUCGAUUAACCAGUGAUGCGAUAGAGAAAGUAGCAGCAAAAUAUGAUUAAUGAAAUAUUUUUUUUAAAUGAAAUGUAUUUUAUUUGAUAACUUUUUAAAUGUGUGUGUAUUUCUCUGAAUAAGUCUGUUUGCAAAUAUGUAACAGAUUCGGGUUUAAUUUCUUUCGGGAUUGUUUUGUGUUAUUUAUGAAAUUGAUAAAAAUAAAUUACUGACAUGUUU
Magallana angulata is the source of this 484-nucleotide long non-coding RNA. RefSeq lists it as uncharacterized. The transcript is spliced from 2 exons. Lineage: Eukaryota; Metazoa; Mollusca; Bivalvia; Ostreida; Ostreidae. The record is from RefSeq and is a predicted model, not a curated record.